AUUGAACGCUGGCGGCAGGCCUAACACAUGCAAGUCGAGCGGAUGAAGGGAGCUUGCUCCUGGAUUCAGCGGCGGACGGGUGAGUAAUGCCUAGGAAUCUGCCCGGUAGUGGGGGAUAACGUCCGGAAACGGGCGCUAAUACCGCAUACGUCCUGAGGGAGAAAGUGGGGGAUCUUCGGACCUCACGCUAUCAGAUGAGCCUAGGUCGGAUUAGCUAGUUGGUGGGGUAAAGGCCUACCAAGGCGACGAUCCGUAACUGGUCUGAGAGGAUGAUCAGUCACACUGGAACUGAGACACGGUCCAGACUCCUACGGGAGGCAGCAGUGGGGAAUAUUGGACAAUGGGCGAAAGCCUGAUCCAGCCAUGCCGCGUGUGUGAAGAAGGUCUUCGGAUUGUAAAGCACUUUAAGUUGGGAGGAAGGGCAGUAAGUUAAUACCUUGCUGUUGUGACGUUACCAACAGAAUAGGCACCGGCUAACUUCG
This 482-nucleotide ribosomal RNA is filed under the name uncultured bacterium. Its description in RNAcentral is "partial 16S ribosomal RNA". It matches the Rfam family "Bacterial small subunit ribosomal RNA", at positions 30 to 505 of the family's 1533-position model. The record is from RNAcentral.